This 252-nucleotide ribosomal RNA is filed under the name uncultured bacterium. RNAcentral describes it as "partial 16S ribosomal RNA". It matches the Rfam family "Bacterial small subunit ribosomal RNA", at positions 80 to 334 of the family's 1533-position model. The record is from RNAcentral.
CUAAGAGAUGGCGACCGGCGCACGGGUGAGUAACACGUAUCCAACCUGCCGAUAACUCGGGGAUAGCCUUUCGAAAGAAAGAUUAAUACCCGAUGGCAUAAUAGAACCGCAUGGUUUGAUUAUUAAAGAAUUUCGGUUAUCGAUGGGGAUGCGUUCCAUUAGGCAGUUGGUGGGGUAACGGCCCACCAAACCUUCGAUGGAUAGGGGUUCUGAGAGGAAGGUCCCCCACAUUGGAACUGAGACACGGUCCAA